This 57-nucleotide ribosomal RNA is filed under the name uncultured Brevundimonas sp. RNAcentral describes it as "partial 16S ribosomal RNA". The record is from RNAcentral. Lineage: Bacteria; Pseudomonadati; Pseudomonadota; Alphaproteobacteria; Caulobacterales; Caulobacteraceae.
AACCUGUCUUUGGAAGGGGGAUAACCCGGGGAAACUCGGGCUAGUACCGCAUAACAC